AGUGAACGCUGGCGGCAGGCCUAACACAUGCAAGUCGAACGGCAGCACAAGAGAGCUUGCUCUCUGGGUGGCGAGUGGCGGACGGGUGAGGAAUGCAUCGGAAUCUGCCCAUUUGUGGGGGAUAACCUCGGGAAACCGGGACUAAUACCGCAUACGACCUACGGGUGAAAGCAGGGGAUCUUCGGACCUUGCGCAGAUGGAUGAGCCGAUGCCGGAUUAGCUAGUUGGAGGGGUAAAGGCCCACCAAGGCGACGAUCCGUAGCUGGUCUGAGAGAAUGAUCAGCCACACUGGGACUGAGACACGGCCCAGACUCCUACGGGAGGCAGCAGUGGGGAAUAUUGGACAAUGGGCGCAAGCCUGAUCCAGCCAUGCCGCGUGUGUGAAGAAGGCCUUCGGGUUGUAAAGCACUUUUGUUGGGAAAGAAAAGCAGCCGGUUAAUACCCGGUUGUCAUGACGGUACCCAAAGAAUAAGCACCGGCUAACUUCGUG
Molecule: ribosomal RNA, 490 nt
Filed under: uncultured bacterium
Lineage: Bacteria
Description: partial 16S ribosomal RNA
Rfam family: Bacterial small subunit ribosomal RNA
Source: RNAcentral